Molecule: ribosomal RNA, 157 nt
Filed under: Ramalina complanata
Lineage: Eukaryota; Fungi; Ascomycota; Lecanoromycetes; Lecanorales; Ramalinaceae
Description: 5.8S ribosomal RNA
Rfam family: 5.8S ribosomal RNA
About the family: 5.8S ribosomal RNA (5.8S rRNA) is a component of the large subunit of the eukaryotic ribosome. It is transcribed by RNA polymerase I as part of the 45S precursor that also contains 18S and 28S rRNA.
Source: RNAcentral
AAAACUUUCACAACGGAUCUCUUGGUUCUGGCAUCGAUGAAGAACGCAGCGAAAUGCGAUAAGUAAUGUGAAUUGCAGAAUUCAGUGAAUCAUCGAAUCUUUGAACGCACAUUGCGCCCCUCGGUAUUCCGGGGGGCAUGCCUGUUCGAGCGUCAUU